GUCCUUUCUCGACGAACUCGGUCAGGUA
This 28-nucleotide small RNA is filed under the name Bombyx mori (domestic silkworm). RNAcentral's name for it is "ovarian small RNA-17768". The record is from RNAcentral. Lineage: Eukaryota; Metazoa; Arthropoda; Insecta; Lepidoptera; Bombycidae.